AGAGUUUGAUCAUGGCUCAGAACGUACGCUGGCGGCACGCCUAACACAUGCAAGUCGAACGAAGUAGCAAUACUUAGUGGCAGACGGGUGAGUAACAUGUAGGUAUCUACCCUUUGGCCUGGAAUAACACGAGGAAACUUGUGCUAAUACCGGAUAAGUCUUUACGGAGAAAGCUUUAUGCACCAUUGGAUGAGCCUGCACUUGAUUAGUUUGUUGGUGGGGUAAUGGCCUACCAAGACUGUGAUCAAUAGCUGAUUUGAGAGGAUGAUCAGCCACAUUGGGACUGAGACACGGCCCAAACUCCUACGGGAGGCAGCAGUGGGGAAUCUUGCACAAUGGAGGAAACUCUGAUGCAGCGAUGCCGCGUGAGUGAAGAAGGCCUUUGGGUUGUAAAGCUCUUUCGUCGGGGAAGAAAAUGACUGUACCCGAAUAAGAAGGUCCGGCUAACUUCGUGCCAGCAGCCGCGGUAAUACGAAGGGACCUAGCGUAGUUCGGAAUUACUGGGCUUAAAGAGUUCGUAGGUGGUUGAAAAAGUUAGUGGUGAAAUCCCAGAGCUUAACUCUGGAACUGCCAUUAAAACUUUUCAGCUAGAGUAUGAUAGAGGAAAGCAGAAUUUCUAGUGUAGAGGUGAAAUUCGUAGAUAUUAGAAAGAAUACCAAUUGCGAAGGCAGCUUUCUGGAUCAUUACUGACACUGAGGAACGAAAGCAUGGGUAGCGAAGAGGAUUAGAUACCCUCGUAGUCCAUGCCGUAAACGAUGUGUGUUAGACGUUGGAAAUUUUAUUUUCAGUGUCGCAGCGAAAGCGAUAAACACACCGCCUGGGGAGUACGACCGCAAGGUUAAAACUCAAAUGAAUUGACGGGGACCCGCACAAGUAGUGGAGCAUGUGGUUUAAUUCGAAGAUACGCGCAGAACCUUACCAACACUUGACAUGUUCGUCGCGACUCUAAGAGAUUAGAGUUUUCGGUUCGGCCGGACGAAACACAGGUGCUGCAUGGCUGUCGUCAGCUCGUGUCGUGAGAUGUUGGGUUAAGUCCCGCAACGAGCGCAACCCUCACUUUUAGUUGCCAUCAUUAAGUUGGGCACUCUGAAAGAACUGCCAGUGAUAAGCUGGAGGAAGGUGGGGAUGACGUCAAGUCCUCAUGGCCCUUACGUGUUGGGCUACACACGUGCUACAAUGGUAUCUACAACAGGAAGCAAGACUGCGAGGUCAAGCAAAUCCUUAAAAGAUACCUCAGUUCGGAUUGCACUCUGCAACUCGAGUGCAUGAAGCUGGAAUUACUAGUAAUCGUGGAUCAGCGUGCCACGGUGAAUGCGUUCCCGGGUCUUGUACACACCGCCCGUCACACCAUGGGAGUUGGUUCUACCUUAAGGCAAGGUUUAAAACCCUUGACCACGGUAUAGUCAGCGACUGGGGUGAAGUCGUAACAAGGUAGCCGUAGGGGAACCUGCGGCUG
RNAcentral lists this ribosomal RNA (1456 nucleotides) under Pelagibacteraceae bacterium AG-390-A23. RNAcentral's name for it is "bacterial SSU rRNA". It matches the Rfam family "Bacterial small subunit ribosomal RNA". Lineage: Bacteria; Pseudomonadati; Pseudomonadota; Alphaproteobacteria; Candidatus Pelagibacterales; Candidatus Pelagibacteraceae. RNAcentral also lists the same sequence under 1 other name. The record is from RNAcentral.